Molecule: ribosomal RNA, 415 nt
Filed under: uncultured bacterium
Lineage: Bacteria
Description: bacterial SSU rRNA
Rfam family: Bacterial small subunit ribosomal RNA
Source: RNAcentral
CCGUGCCAGCAGCCGCGGUAAUACGGAGGGGGUUAGCGUUGUUCGGAAUUACUGGGCGUAAAGCGCGCGUAGGCGGAUUAGAAAGUUGGGGGUGAAAUCCCGGGGCUCAACCUCGGAACUGCCUCCAAAACUGCUAGUCUAGAGUUCGAGAGAGGUGAGUGGAAUUCCGAGUGUAGAGGUGAAAUUCGUAGAUAUUCGGAGGAACACCAGUGGCGAAGGCGGCUCACUGGCUCGAUACUGACGCUGAGGUGCGAAAGUGUGGGGAGCAAACAGGAUUAGAUACCCUGGUAGUCCACACCGUAAACGAUGAAUGCCAGUCGUCGGGUAGUAUACUAUUCGGUGACACACCUAACGGAUUAAGCAUUCCGCCUGGGGAGUACGGUCGCAAGAUUAAAACUCAAAGGAAUUGACGGGG